GGAUAACCUGCCCUUGGGUCCGGCAUAACCCCGGGAAACUGGGGAUAAUUCCGGAUAACGCACAUAUGCUGGAAUGCUUUAUGCGUAAAAUGGAUUCGUCUGCCCAAGGAUGGGUCUGCGGCCUAUCAGGUAGUAGUGGGUGUAAUGUACCUACUAGCCUACAACGGGUACGGGUUGUGAGAGCAAGAGCCCGGAGAUGGAUUCUGAGACAUGAAUCCAGGCCCUACGGGGCGCAGCAGGCGCGAAAACUUUACAAUGCGGGAAACCGUGAUAAGGGGACACCGAGUGCCAGCAUCAUAUGCUGGCUGUCCAGAUGUGUAAAAUACAUCUGUUAGCAAGGGCCGGGCAAGACCGGUGCCAGCCGCCGCGGUAACACCGGCGGCCCGAGUGGUGAUCGUGAUUAUUGGGUCUAAAGGGUCCGUAGCCAGUUUGGUCAGUCCUCCGGGAAAUCUGAUGGCUCAACCAUUAGGCUUUCGGGGGAUACUGCCAGGCUUGGAACCGGGAGAGGUAAGAGGUACUACAGGGGUAGGAGUGAAAUCUUGUAAUCCCUGUGGGACCACCUGUGGCGAAGGCGUCUUACCAGAACGGGUUCGACGGUGAGGGACGAAAGCUGGGGGCACGAACCGGAUUAGAUACCCGGGUAGUCCCAGCCGUAAACGAUGCUCGCUAGGUGUCAGGCAUGGCGCGACCGUGUCUGGUGCCGCAGGGAAGCCGUGAAGCGAGCCACCUGGGAAGUACGGCCGCAAGGCUGAAACUUAA
This 759-nucleotide ribosomal RNA is filed under the name uncultured archaeon. RNAcentral describes it as "bacterial SSU rRNA". It matches the Rfam family "Archaeal small subunit ribosomal RNA", at positions 102 to 859 of the family's 1478-position model. The record is from RNAcentral.